Molecule: ribosomal RNA, 258 nt
Filed under: uncultured Pseudomonas sp.
Lineage: Bacteria; Pseudomonadati; Pseudomonadota; Gammaproteobacteria; Pseudomonadales; Pseudomonadaceae
Description: partial 16S ribosomal RNA
Rfam family: Bacterial small subunit ribosomal RNA
Source: RNAcentral
CGGCGGACGGGUGAGUAAUGCCUAGGAAUCUGCCUGGUAGUGGGGGACAACGUUUCGAAAGGAACGCUAAUACCGCAUACGUCCUACGGGAGAAAGCAGGGGACCUUCGGGCCUUGCGCUAUCAGAUGAGCCUAGGUCGGAUUAGCUAGUUGGUGAGGUAAUGGCUCACCAAGGCGACGAUCCGUAACUGGUCUGAGAGGAUGAUCAGUCACACUGGAACUGAGACACGGUCCAGACUCCUACGGGAGGCAAGCAGCC